RNAcentral lists this ribosomal RNA (238 nucleotides) under uncultured Hyphomicrobiales bacterium. RNAcentral describes it as "uncultured Rhizobiales bacterium partial 16S ribosomal RNA". It matches the Rfam family "Bacterial small subunit ribosomal RNA", at positions 100 to 358 of the family's 1533-position model. The record is from RNAcentral. Lineage: Bacteria; Pseudomonadati; Pseudomonadota; Alphaproteobacteria; Hyphomicrobiales.
GACGGGAGAGUUUCCGUGGGAACGGAGCAUUUGGUUCGGAACAACCCAGGGAAACUUGGGCUAAUCCUUACAAGCCCUCACGGGGAAAGAUUCAUCGCCGAAGGAUCGGCCCGCGUCUGAUUAGCUAGUUGGUGGGGUAAUGGCCCACCAAGGCGACGAUCAGUAGCUGGUCUGAGAGGAUGAUCAGCCUCACUGGGACUGAGACACGGCCCAGACUCCUACGGGAGGCAGCAGUGGG